CCUACGGGGGGCAGCUGUGAGGAAUAUUGGUCAAUGGACGAGAGUCUGAACCAGCCAAGUAGCGUGAAGGAUGACUGCCCUAUGGGUUGUAAACUUCUUUUAUAUGGGAAUAAAACGUUCCACGUGUGGGAUUUUGUAUGUACCAUAUGAAUAAGGAUCGGCUAACUCCGUGCCAGCAGCCGCGGUAAUACGGAGGAUCCGAGCGUUAUCCGGAUUUAUUGGGGUUAAAGGGAGCGUAGGUGGAUUGUUAAGUCAGUUGUGAAAGUUUGCGGCUCAACCGUAAAAUUGCAGUUGAAACUGGCAGUCUUGAGUACAGUAGAGGUGGGCGGAAUUCGUGGUGUAGCGGUGAAAUGCUUAGAUAUCACGAAGAACUCCGAUUGCGAAGGCAGUUCACUGGACUGCAACUGACACUGAGGCUCGAAAGUGUGGGUAUCAAACAGGAUUAGAGACCCGAGUAGUC
This 460-nucleotide ribosomal RNA is filed under the name uncultured bacterium. RNAcentral describes it as "partial 16S ribosomal RNA". It matches the Rfam family "Bacterial small subunit ribosomal RNA", at positions 338 to 795 of the family's 1533-position model. The record is from RNAcentral.